GGCUCUGUGGCGCAAUGGAGAGCGCAUUGGACUUCUAAUUCAAAGGUUGUGGGUUCGAGUCCCACCAGAGUCG
This 73-nucleotide transfer RNA is filed under the name Takifugu rubripes (torafugu). RNAcentral's name for it is "tRNA-Arg (TCT) (tRNA-Arg-TCT-4-1, tRNA-Arg-TCT-4-2)". It matches the Rfam family "tRNA". From Rfam's summary of the family: Transfer RNA (tRNA) molecules are approximately 80 nucleotides in length. Lineage: Eukaryota; Metazoa; Chordata; Actinopteri; Tetraodontiformes; Tetraodontidae. RNAcentral also lists the same sequence under 1 other name. The record is from RNAcentral.